Molecule: long non-coding RNA, 271 nt
Organism: Hylaeus volcanicus
Lineage: Eukaryota; Metazoa; Arthropoda; Insecta; Hymenoptera; Colletidae
Exons: 3
Source: RefSeq, a predicted model, not a curated record
UCGUUUACACUGGCUGCUCGUUAGCAUCGACGGUUUAAUUUAUGCUGACUGGAUGGAAAACGCACACUCUGGGGGGGAAAGUGUUAUAAAUGAGCUAAACGAGGCCAUCGUAUAGACCAGAAUUCUUUCAAGGCUUGGACGUCACGAAGGAGACAUCCUGUACCGAGUAAAUAGAAAGAUGGCUGAGUGGUGACCAUUAGCAAGGAAUAGCAGUGCUCGACGUAGUUUUAAACAAAUCGCAGUAGACAACGUGACCAGUAUUCAAAUGAAG